GGGGGAAGCCACCGGAGCAGUUGCACUCGUGUCCACCAUCGUUGUCUUUAGAAGCCGACUGGUGCCGCGGUGCGUCGAAUAUAUGCGGGAAUUGAAACCAAAAACACAAGGAGGACUGGAAGCACCACAUUUUUACCACUACAUUCUGACCAAUCAACUCCAAAAUAUACACAAAUGGAUUCAACCUAACCCAUCAGAAAGCACAUGGCUAGAUUUUAACACAAACCCCCAGCCUGUCUGAAAUGCAGUGCUGACCAGCUGUCCCCAUAUUCUCACAGAUCUUCAACAGAUCUUUGGAGUUGUGCAAAGUCCCUUCAUUCUUCAAAUGCUCCACCAUCAUCCCCGUCUAACUCAGCUCUCUAUGCCCAUCUCCGUCUGUCAGUGAAUCACCAGCUUCCUGACAGACAGACAGCAGCUAGUGAGGCCGGGAAAAUACACAUCCAGCACCCGGACGAUCAGCACCGGAGCUCCCCAGGGCUGCGUUCUCUCCCCACUGCUCUU
Long non-coding RNA from Cyprinus carpio (common carp), 501 nucleotides. RefSeq lists it as uncharacterized. The transcript is spliced from 3 exons. Lineage: Eukaryota; Metazoa; Chordata; Actinopteri; Cypriniformes; Cyprinidae. The record is from RefSeq and is a predicted model, not a curated record.